RNAcentral lists this ribosomal RNA (585 nucleotides) under uncultured bacterium. RNAcentral describes it as "bacterial SSU rRNA". It matches the Rfam family "Bacterial small subunit ribosomal RNA", at positions 844 to 1428 of the family's 1533-position model. The record is from RNAcentral.
UAACGCAGCUAACGCGUGAAGUAGACCGCCUGGGGAGUACGGUCGCAAGAUUAAAACUCAAAUGAAUUGACGGGGGCCCGCACAAGCGGUGGAUUAUGUGGAUUAAUUCGAUGCAACGCGAAAAACCUUACCUGGCCUUGACAUGUAACGAACUUUCCAGAGAUGGAUUGGUGCUCGAAAGAGAACGUUAACACAGGUGCUGCAUGGCUGUCGUCAGCUCGUGUCGUGAGAUGUUGGGUUAAGUCCCGCAACGAGCGCAACCCUUGCCAUUAAUUGCCAUCAUUUAGUUGGGCACUUUAAUGGGACUGCCAGUGACAAACCGGAGGAAGGUGGGGAUGACGUCAAGUCCUCAUGGCCCUUAUGGCCAGGGCUUCACACGUAAUACAAUGGUCGGUACAGAGGGUUGCCAAGCCGCGAGGUGGAGCCAAUCCCAGAAAGCCGAUCGUAGUCCGGAUUGUAGUCUGCAACUCGACUACGUGAAGUCGGAAUCGCUAGUAAUCGCGGAUCAGCAUGUCGCGGUGAAUACGUUCCCGGGCCUUGUACACACCGCCCGUCACACCAUGGGAGUGGGUUUUACCAGAAGUA